CGAGUGGCGGACGGGGGAGUAAUGUCUGGGAAACGUGCCCGAUGGAGGGGGAUAACUACUGGAAACGGUAGCUAAUACCGCAUAACGUCGCAAGACCAAAGAAGGGGGGACCGUCGGGCCUCUUGCCAUCGGAUGUGCCCAGAUGGGAUUAGCUAGUAGGUGGGGUAAAGGCUCACCUAGGCGACGAUCCCUAGCUGGUCUGAGAGGAUGACCAGCCACACUGGAACUGAGACACGGUCCAG
RNAcentral lists this ribosomal RNA (242 nucleotides) under uncultured bacterium. RNAcentral describes it as "partial 16S ribosomal RNA". It matches the Rfam family "Bacterial small subunit ribosomal RNA", at positions 92 to 334 of the family's 1533-position model. The record is from RNAcentral.